UGGCACUUAUAUUCAUAGAUCCACAUGCAUCAGUAUGUAUUAGACCAAGGACAUCGCUGGCUUUUUCAUCAUUUUUCUUAAAAGGUGACUUAAUCAUCUUACCAAGUAGACAGGAUUUAUAGGUUGGUAUGAUUUGCAAUCAUCUAUCUCAAGGACACGUUCUUUGAUCAACUUGUCAAUCCUAUUCUUGUUCACGUGACCAAGCUUACAAUGUCAAAGAUAGGAUUCACUAAUAUUAUCUAAUUUAGGAUGCUUGCUGGCUGUAUACAUUACACUAACAGGUCAUGAUAUUAUGUAUAUGCCAUGUUUUAAUUAUUCACGCAUAAUUGCAGUAUC
Molecule: long non-coding RNA, 336 nt
Filed under: Elaeis guineensis (African oil palm)
Lineage: Eukaryota; Viridiplantae; Streptophyta; Magnoliopsida; Arecales; Arecaceae
Description: long non-coding RNA (EGUI_LNC019606)
Source: RNAcentral